GGAACCUGCCCUGGUUCCACAGUCGUGUGCUGAUGUCAUCACACAGUGAUAAAGGAGAUGCCUGCUGUCCUUCAGUGACCCUAGCCGUCCCACUGAGGUCAUUACCUCUGAAUGCCCUCCGAUGGACACACAGCUCAGACCCCAGCUCAGACCCCUCAGCUCCUUCACAUAUUUUAUCCCCUCUCUCCUCUGCUCCAAUUGGCUCCCACACUAAGGCACAGACACAGCUCUCUGAAAUCUAAGUGGGGGCCACACUUUGGUGGAUGAGAGGAAACCGGGGCAACCGUGGAGCAAUGCUGGAACUACCAUUCCCGCACUGAGGGACACAAAACAGGAAUACACAGUGGGGCACAGUGUCAACACCAUGAUACACACAAUCAGCCACUCGCCAACCCAGGGAACCUGCACCAACACAUCACAGCACCACCAUCUCACUGGUGACGAAGCUUGACCCCACAUCCAACCACAACAGGAACUGAGUUUGACUUUUAGUGCUGAAUUAAUUGCUAAUUAAAGAAAAAGGAAGAAAUGGUAACGCUUGCAGUGUCAUACCCCACAACACUCAAGGCUGUAAUAGCUGCCAAAGUUGCUACAACAAAUUACUGAGUCAAG
Oncorhynchus tshawytscha (Chinook salmon) is the source of this 612-nucleotide long non-coding RNA. The record is from Ensembl. NCBI's taxonomy places the organism in Eukaryota, Metazoa, Chordata, Actinopteri, Salmoniformes, Salmonidae.